AGUGGCGGACGGGUGAGUAACGCGUGAGAAUCUGCCUUGGGGUCGGGGACAACCACUGGAAACGGUGGCUAAUACCGGAUAAGCCGAUUGGUGAAAGAUUUAUUGCCCGAAGAGGAGCUCGCGUCUGAUUAGCUAGUUGGUGAGGUAAGAGCUCACCAAGGCAGCGAUCAGUAGCUGGUCUGAGAGGACGAUCAGCCACACUGGGACCGAGACACUGCCCAGACUCCUACGGGAGGCAGCAGUGGGGAAUUUUCCGCAAUGGGCGAAAGCCUGACGGAGCAAGACCGCGUGAGGGAGGAAGGCUCUUGGGUUGUAAACCUCUUUUCUCAGGGAAGAAGCUCUGACGGUACCUGAGGAAUCAGCCUCGGCUAACUCCGUGCCAGCAGCCGCGGUAAUACGGAGGAGGCAAGCGUUAUCCGGAAUUAUUGGGCGUAAAGCGUCCGCAGGUGGCGAUUCAAGUCUGCUGUCAAAGCACGGGGCUUAACUCCGUAAAGGCAGUGGAAACUGAAUAGCUAGAGUGCCGUAGGGGUAGAGGGAAUUCCCGGUGUAGCGGUGAAAUGCGUAGAGAUCGGGAAGAACAUCGGUGGCGAAAGCGCUCUACUGGACGGCAACUGACACUCAGGGACGAAAGCUAGGGGAGCGAAUGGGAUUAGAUACCCC
Molecule: ribosomal RNA, 660 nt
Filed under: uncultured bacterium
Lineage: Bacteria
Description: bacterial SSU rRNA
Rfam family: Bacterial small subunit ribosomal RNA
Source: RNAcentral